UCAAGAAACUUCCACAAUGGGCGAAAGCCUGAUGGAGCGACGUCGCGUGAUGGACGAAGUGCUUCGGCACGUAAACAUCUUUUAUGUGGGAUGAAAUUAUUGACAGUACCACAUGAAUAAGGGGCUUCUAACUCUGUGCCAGCAGGAGCGGUAAUACAGAGGCCCCAAGCGUUAUCCGGAAUCACUGGGCGUAAAGGGUGUCGAGGCGGUUGUAUUAGUCGUUCGUAAAAUCUACGAGCUUAACUUGUAGGCGGCGAACGAAACGGUACGACUUGAGGUUUGGAGAGGUGCGUGGAACUCACGGUGUAGGGGUGAAAUCCGUUGAUAUCGUGGGGAACACCAAAGGCGAAGGCAGCGCACUGGCCAAAAUCUGACGCUCACACACGAAAGCUAGGGUAGCGAAGAGGAUUAGAUACCCAAGUAGUCCCUGAGCGGGCUGGCAAGGCGCAU
RNAcentral lists this ribosomal RNA (450 nucleotides) under uncultured bacterium. RNAcentral describes it as "bacterial SSU rRNA". It matches the Rfam family "Bacterial small subunit ribosomal RNA", at positions 355 to 825 of the family's 1533-position model. The record is from RNAcentral.